UGAACGCUGGCGGCAGGCCUAACACAUGCAAGUCGAGCGGAUGAAGGGAGCUUGCUCCUGGAUUCAGCGGCGGACGGGUGAGUAAUGCCUAGGAAUCUGCCUGGUAGUGGGGGAUAACGUCCGGAAACGGGCGCUAAUACCGCAUACGUCCUGAGGGAGAAAGUGGGGGAUCUUCGGACCUCACGCUAUCAGAUGAGCCUAGGUCGGAUUAGCUAGUUGGUGGGGUAAAGGCCUACCAAGGCGACGAUCCGUAACUGGUCUGAGAGGAUGAUCAGUCACACUGGAACUGAGACACGGUCCAG
Molecule: ribosomal RNA, 302 nt
Filed under: Pseudomonas aeruginosa
Lineage: Bacteria; Pseudomonadati; Pseudomonadota; Gammaproteobacteria; Pseudomonadales; Pseudomonadaceae
Description: bacterial SSU rRNA
Rfam family: Bacterial small subunit ribosomal RNA
Source: RNAcentral